UCAGAGUACUAGAUCGAUGAUUCGGAAUCGGUCCAAAAGCACGAUCCAAAAAAAAACUAAAAGAAUAGACGAAAUUAAAUAAAUUUAGAUGGAGAGAGGAUGGGGGGAGAGAGAGAGAGGAGACAGAGAAAAACUUUGAAGAAAGAACAUCAAGCUGACUUUAUUUUAGCUUUUUCUCUUAUAAACUUUAUCUUGAAAAUAUGCACGAAACACUGGUAUAUGCCCUUCUUUUCUCUCUCUCUAGAAAAGUUUACUCUACAAAAAGUAGAAGUACAAAGUACAGGAGGCAGGCCUUUGAAUAUGAGCCCACGCAUAACCUUUUUUUAGUGAGAGAAAGGCCACACCUUUUUAGCUAGAGAAAGACGCACUUUUCUAUCACCAUAUUUAAUUGAGUUUUUGUAUCUUUUUAGACAUCCGAGAUUUAAGUAUGGACAUUAUAGAUAUAUAUGCCCCAUAUACACCAAACCUGCACCUCCUUUCCUCUUCACGAAUCUGGUUUCCUCUUCACAAAUCGACCCUGAAAAUCAUGCAACAACAUCAAAGUUAUGACUGGGAAGAGGGAGGGAGUUAGAGAGAGAAGUCAAGAUGAUAACAGUAACCGGCCCGUUGACCCGACAUACCAGGCUAGGCAGGCAGAUCUCGGCUGGUAAAAAGUUGAAAGGUUGGCAAAAAAUAAAAAUAAUCUAAAAAUAAAUAUGCAUGACCAAAAUACUUUCCAACUUUACCAAAAUGAUAAAAAUAAAUAAAAGACACAUCACAAACAGAACCCUUUUUUCUUGGAGUUUUUCAAACUUGAGAGAGAAAAGGAGAAGAAACAAAGACACAUCACAAACAGAACCCUUUUUUCUUGGAGUUUUUCAAACUUGAGAGAGAAAAGGAGAAGAAACACAUACACAUAGAGAGAGAGAGGAGGGGUUAA
RNAcentral lists this long non-coding RNA (919 nucleotides) under Amborella trichopoda. RNAcentral's name for it is "long non-coding RNA (ATRI_LNC004213)". Lineage: Eukaryota; Viridiplantae; Streptophyta; Magnoliopsida; Amborellales; Amborellaceae. The record is from RNAcentral.